This 460-nucleotide ribosomal RNA is filed under the name uncultured bacterium. RNAcentral describes it as "partial 16S ribosomal RNA". It matches the Rfam family "Bacterial small subunit ribosomal RNA", at positions 338 to 795 of the family's 1533-position model. The record is from RNAcentral.
CCUACGGGAUGCAGCAGUGAGGAAUAUUGGUCAAUGGACGAGAGUCUGAACCAGCCAAGUAGCGUGAAGGAUGACUGCCCUAUGGGUUGUAAACUUCUUUUAUAUGGGAAUAAAAUGUUCCACGUGUGGGAUUUUGUAUGUACCAUAUGAAUAAGGAUCGGCUAACUCCGUGCCAGCAGCCGCGGUAAUACGGAGGAUCCGAGCGUUAUCCGGAUUUAUUGGGUUUAAGGGGAGCGUAGGUGGAUUGUUAAGUCAGUUGUGAAAGUUUGCGGCUCAACCGUAAAAUUGCAGUUGAAACUGGCAGUCUUGAGUACAGUAGAGGUGGGCGGAAUUCGUGGUGUAGCGGUGAAAUGCUUAGAGAUCACGAAGAACUCCGAUUGCGAAGGCAGUUCACUGGACUGCAACUGACACUGAGGCUCGAAAGUGUGGGUAUCAAACAGGAUUAGAUACCCGUGUAGUC